CACACUCUGUCAAUGAUCAUCACCAUCCUGACCCUUCUCCAAUACCCAUGCCUGCAUCAUAUGCCCCUGUAUAUAAUAAUCCUGCUAGCUUUUCUGGUGUUCCAGAAGUUGCAAAUAAUACGCAACAUUCUACAGUUGAAGCUGAUGAAGUGUCACCAGUGGAACAUUCAUUUCCACCUGUUCCACACCCAGCAGACUUGAGAAGGACAACAAGGAGUGCCAAUCUGCCAAUAUGGUUAAAGGAUUAUGUAACUACUAAAUCUGGUGGUAAGUCUGGAGGUGUGACCCUUUAUUCUAUCUCAGAUGUGUUGUCUUAUGAUAAUGUCUCACCAGCAUACCAAGCCUAUCUGCAAGCCUUUUUAGCUCAAAUUGAACCACAAAAUCUUAAAGAAGCCGCAAAAAAUGAACACUGGAUUAAGGCUAUGUAGCUUGAAAUUCAAGCCUUGGAGGAAAAUCAGACUUGGGACCUGGUCCCUCUGCCACCAGGGAAACAUGCCAUAGGUUUUAAAUGGGUAUACAAGAUUAAAUAUAAAGCUGAUGGAAGCAUUAAAAGAUACAAGUCUAGAUUAUUUGCGAAGGAUACAAUGAGCAGGAAGGUUUGGAUUAUCAUGAUACCUUCUCACCUGUUGCUAAAAUUAUGACAGUCAGAGCUGUGAUAAGCCUGGCAGCCUCCAAGAAGUGGGACAUCUUCCAAAUGGAUGUAAAUAAUGCUUUCCUACAAGGAGAUCUUUAUGAAGAUGUAUACAUGGAAUUGCCUCAAGGAUUUCAGAGACAAGGAAGUAAACUGGUAUGCAAACUGAAAAAAUAUUAUAUGGACUCAAACAGGCUUCCAGAUAGUGAAAUAUUAAGCUCACAAAUGCAUUAAUUGCUGGUGGCUAUACACAAAGCAGCUAUUAUCACUCACUAUUUAUUCAGAGAUCAGGAUAUGAUAUUGUAGUGGUCUUGGUUUAUGUUGAUGAUCUGCUUAUCACAAGGAGUAACUCUACUCUAAUUUAGCAUGCAAAAGACACAUUGAACAAGGCAUUCAAGGUGAAAGACUUGGGCCAAUUAAGAUUCUUCUUGGGGAUUGAAGUACUCAGGUCUGACAAAGGUAUAUUUCUCAACCAAAGAAAGUAUGUGUCGGAACUGAUCUCACAAAUUAGCCUGAGUGGGUGAAAACCAUCUCCAACACCAUUAGAGGUCAAUAAGAAAUUAACUUCUAUAGAGUAUGACCUCCAAGUUGGUCCAUCUGAUGAUCCAGAAAUAGAUGACAUACUUGGUUAUCAAAAGCUGGUUGGAAAAUUGUUUUACCUCACUAUUACAAGGCCAUACAUUUGCUUUGCAGUACAAACAUUAACCCAAUUUAUGCAGAGACCUAAAAAGUCUCACAUGGAUGGUGCACUAAGGGUGGUGAGGUAUCUGAAGGGUAAUCCUGGACUUGGAAUUUUACUUAAAGAAGAUGAGAUCACAUCUAUGACUGACUUCUGUGACUCUGAUUGGGCAUCUUGUCCCAACACUAGAAGCUCAGUUUCAGGGUAUAUAGUCAUGAUGGGUGAUUCUUUGGUUUCUUGGAAAUCUAAGAAACAACAUACAGUGAGCAGAAGCUCAGUAGAAGCUGAGUAUAAGAGCAUGGCAGGUGCAACUGCUGAAGUGAUAUGGCUGACUGGUUUAUUGCCAGAGCUUGGAGUGACCUUAACCAUGCCUGUGAAGUUGUUUUGUGAUAAUAAAGCUGCACUACAAAUUGCUGCUAAUCCUAUUUUUCAUGAGAGAACUAAGCACAUAGAAAUCGAUUGUUAUUUUGUCAGAGAAAGAAUCAAAUCAGGUUUACUGCAACCAGUUCAUGUCCCCUCCAACAUUCAACUAGCUGAUCUCAUGACUAAAGGACUUCCAGCAGCUCAACAUCAGUUUCUUCUUUCCAAGCCGAGAGUCCUUGAUGUUUUCCGGUCACCAGCUUGAGGGGGAGUAAAGAGACUAGUCAGUUAGAUUGUUGUAGUUUGUUAGAAAAAGAGUGGUGUACAGCUGGUGUACAACUGUCAAGUUAGUGGAGUUGGAUGUUAGUGGAGUCGGUUAUUUUUCUAAAUAAGUAGCAAUUGCAUCACUAACAAUGUAAUCAGAACAAAUCAUUUUUCAAUCAAUAAAGCUUGUUCAUUCCUCUAAGAACCAUAUCAACGAACUUGGUUCAAUAGCUCUAGGGAUUUUAUCAAGCUACGUAUUUACCAUGUUAGAAAAAGCUUGAAGACUAUACUUCACAGGAAAAUGACGGUGCGAAUAAUAGUAUAUUUCCAUAGUAUCUGAGUCAGUGGACUCAGAUAUACCAGCAAUCGGUCGUUGGUCCCUUGGUUGAAAGCACUAAUUUAUAUAUUUAUUUAUUUAUAAGUUAAUGGUCAGAAAUAUAUUAAAAUUAUUAUAGAUUUUUCAAAAACUUUUAUACCUCAUUCAUUGUUUCAUUUACUUAUCUAAACAGUCACUACUAUCUUAAAACACACUUCAAUGUUGAGUUAAUCAAAUAUUUGAUCCAUAUAGUUGAGGUAUGGACUGUACGAAAAGAUGAUAUUUAAGUAGGGGAAUAGAAAAAUGGAUAGUUGAAAUGUGAAACUGGCGAAAAAGUGAUGUUUAAACAUUAUUUUUAAUUACAUUUAUGAAAACGAAUAAUUCGGUAUGGCUAUAAAUUUAUAUAGAAACUUAUAAUUUUCCUUAACCCCGCCCCCCCCCCCCGCGGCCCCCUCUAAAUAAUUGGUUUGAUUUAAUUCGACAGGUUAAAGUCGAUUUUUAGAAAAUCAUUUAACACUCUAGGAAGUAUUAGGUAAUGCUUUAUUUUCAAAGACGUAUAUCCUCCAAAGAGCUUUAUUCAUAUUUUACUUAACGAGGUACUAUGAAGAUAUGAAAGAGAUCAAAAGGAAAUUAUAUAUGUGCGUAUAAAUAGCUGCGUGUAACCAACCACUUGGAUACUGGGGCAUUGAGAAGCAAGGAUACUUCCAUAAGCAAAAAGUCAUAUUGUCUGUGAUAUAUGAAUCUAAAGCAAAAAGUCAUGUUGUCCGUGAUAUAUGAAUCUAAUGGUAGAAAAUAAUAUCUGUGAUAUAUGAAUCUGAUGGUAGAAAAAUAAUCUAAUAUUGAAUACCCAUUAGAAACGUCUAUUAGAAAAUGACAAAAGACAGCCCAAAAGAACAAAUAAAAACUCAAGACUUAUUCUUUUACGCGUAAUAUUUGAUGAUUCAUGUGUGAUGCGGGAUGUUUUCUUUCCUGCUCUCGAAUUCUAUUGGGAGCUUUCAAGAGGAGCGGAACUAGCAUAUAAUUAGGGGUGCAGAUGAAUUCUUUCGAUGAAAAAUUAUAUUUUAGGAUGAAAAUUACUUUUUAUAAAUAUAUAACAGGGUAUGCAUGCAGAAUUUUAAUUCACUUAAUGAGUGAAAUAACCAUCAUCAUACCAAUAGUAUGGAUCAUCAUUACUAUUCACAUAUGAAUAGUCAUGAAUAAACCAUUGUUCUUGAACAGGAUAAUCUAUAAUUUUUUCAAGAAAAUCUUUAUUUAAUUUUAUCACCUUUAAAAUAGUGAUUAAAGUUUUUUCAUCUAAGAAAAUGGUAUAAUAACUCAUUAUACAAUAUAAAGAGUAAAUUUCUUUAUUAAAAGUUUGAUGCUUUUAUGCUGAAAUUCUCGUAUUUCUUUUCGCAUACGAGUUUUAUCAAGAGACCUGAAUAACAGUAUUUUUAAUCUGUUAAUUUCAGAAAUAUUUGAAGUACUUUUCAAUCGAUAGAUUUUUUGAUAAUAGUAUUUUAAUUUUGUUAUAUCUCUGUUAAGAGCUUCUAUGCUUGUUUUGGUUUCCCAAAAUCUUUUUCUAAGAUUCUUUAGUAGUGGUUGUACCACUCUCAUGAUGAUAAAUAUAGAUAAUUCAUGAUUUUAAUAUUCCCUAUAGGUACUUAGUAACACAUAAUAUGUAUGAGUGUACAAAGUAGAUAUGAAUAAAAAAUUUUCUUAUGUUAAUAUGUUCAUGAAAUGAUAGAGUUUAUACGUAUACCUUUUUGACUUUCUUUUAUAUUGGCUGUAUCAACAUCGUAGUGCUUCUCCUUCCGGCUAUGAAGAAUUAUUUAGCCUAUUGCGACUCACUGUCUCAGGCUAUUGUGCCGUUCUUCCUCCGUCGAGGCUGAAGAUUGCAACCUUCAUUUAUCACCAACAUAUAGAAAUGACAAAAGAUAUAUAAAACAAACUUUUUAUUUCAUGAAUAUAUUACAACACAGGAAAAAUCUUUAAUCAGAUCUUCCUUAUACUCACACACAAACUAUUUGUUACUUUUCCCUCGCGGGAGAAGUGUUUCUCACUCACUCAUAUAGAAGAUACCUAGUAUUUUCUAAGAAAGAGAUAUUCAGA
RNAcentral lists this long non-coding RNA (4338 nucleotides) under Capsicum annuum. RNAcentral describes it as "long non-coding RNA (CANN_LNC005546)". The record is from RNAcentral. Lineage: Eukaryota; Viridiplantae; Streptophyta; Magnoliopsida; Solanales; Solanaceae.